CCUGGGCACAGUGGCCGAGGAAAAUCCCAGCCCUUGAAGUCAGCACCCAAAUUUCCCCAAAGACUCCAGACGGAUGGCUGAGGGGUCCUGGGCCAGGCCUGUGCAGAAGGGCUGCCCCAGAGGCUGAAACCCAGUGGUACCUGAGGCAUAGAGAGCUUGCAUGACUAACCUGGGGGGAAAACCCACCAGAGUUAUUUCUAUUUAAGCUCAAAGAGAAAUGCAGAAGUAAACCUACUUGAACCUAACUUGACUCUAAAACAAAACCAGUCAGUGCUCCUGGAGUUCUGGUGGGGUGGUGGGAAUCUUCUGUAAAGAGGGAGAGUCAAGCCUAGACUCUAGUCGCCCUCACUGGAGAGCCAUACUCUCCGGCAGGGGUCCAGAUCCGUGGGCUUCGGGUCUUCAGGGGGCCUCAGUGUUAGUGCAAUGGGUUCUGAAUCUAUAAACACACCACUCAAUGUUGUCUUUAGACCAGCAUUUCUUAAUCACACUAAGGUUAUGAACUCUUUGGUAAUCAUAAAAGCUACAGAACUUCCCCCCAAAUUCAUAUAAGCCCCAAAAUUUGAAAAAUUGUCUUAAGUUUCAUGGAACUCCGUAAUCCUACCCACUCCCAGUUGUGCAGCUAACCUCUAUUAAGUAAGAAUCCCUGCUGGGCCUGAAAAAAAUACGCCUUGCAUAACGUGUAGACGAUGUGUACGUAAUUUUUCAAGUGUGUUGAUAGGCUGGAGACCCUGGCGGUGUAGAGUUUAAGAGCUACAGUUGCUAACCAAAAGACAGCAGUUUGAACCCACCAGGCGCUCCUUGGAAACCCUAUGGGGCAGUUCUACCCUGCCCUAUAGGGUCGCUAUGAGUUGGGAUCGACUUGACGGCAACGGGUCAACGGGUUGAUAGAAUUGUGGUAAAUAAGUACAAAUCGUUUGAAAGAAUACAGAAUUCAUAGACUUUUUUGUUGCCGUUACGUAUGUCUCCCUAGAGGGAUAGAAAAUACCUGUAGAGGUCCAAGGAUAGUAUUAAAAGGGGUCUAAAGCGCUCCUUGGAAACUCUAUGGGGCAGUUCUACUCUGUCCCAUAGGGUCGCUAUGAGUCGGAAUCGACUCGACGGCAUUAGUUCUUGUUUUUAAUCUCCCUGGGGUCCUCUAUGCCUGUGGCUCUCUCUUCCAUGCUGGGUGAGGCUGUCUUCCAAGUGCCCGAGGCUGGGCCCUGUCGGCUUCUGCUGCGCAGGGUCCUCAGCCCCGCGGGAGGCCAGCAGGAGGCACAGGGCCGCCUGAGCCACUAACUGCCCCAGUGGACAGCGCCCUGCCCGAGGAUCCGGCCACUAGAGGGAGCGCGACUUCGGAUUGCGACUUCUGACUCUCCGAGGCCCCGCCGGAGCCCCGGCUUUUCGGGGUUUUUUCACGGAAACGCUGCAGCCGCUGCUUGCCUCACGUGUAUUUAAGUUUUAGUCUCUAAUUUUGUCGGGGUUUUCCAGACGCAAAUUCACAAAGCGUUUCCAAAAAGCCAAGAGCGUGUGCUGUAGUGCGAGGCGCACCCAUUGAGGUCGCUCCGGGUAAGCGCCCCUGGGUGGGGCCCGGAGAGGCCCAGGCGUGGUGGCCGGGUCACCCUCGGCGGCAACCCCCGCGGAAUGCCCUGCCCGUGAGCUCCCUCUCCUGGGCGCGCCGGGCCCCACCAGUGUGCAUGGCUCUGCCUGGGGGAAAGUCACCGGCUUCCUGAGCCUGAGGGGCGCGCAGUGCCGGGCCGCCGUGGCCGGGCCGGACACAAGGCUGUGCGCCCCUGGGUAACUUCGGCCCCAUGGCCCGCAGAUGAAUGGGGAGAUAGCGAGGGGAGGGGCGCAUAGCCCAGCCGAUUUGGCCCCCAGCACUGACGUCUCCGGAACGGUACCCUCUGCCCUCUCCUCUCCCCCACCCCAAGAUGCUCUUAACCUGAUAACGACUUGGGCAACCAGACCCAGUUCUAGCGCCCAGGCUGGCUCAGUCCGCGACUCAUCAGACAACAGUAUCUGGCACACAGUAGGACAGAGGAGAACUGCCCCACAGGGCUUCCAAGGAGCAGCUCAUGGAUUCGGACUGCCCACCCUUUGGUUAGCCGUGGAAGUUCUUAACCACUGCGUAAGCAGACAGCAAUACCGAAUGCUUCACCAGUGCCAUUGCUGAAGGUCUUCUCUCUGGAUCUGGGUGAAUCAUAACCUUAUAAAAAGAAGUAAAAUUAAGGUCAGAGGAUCUGUAAUACUUACUAGGUUUUAUAUCCAUGUGAACCAAAGACAUUGAAUGAAUAUACUUCAAGCCUCGACCAACUUGCAAAAGGAGAUCCUUCAGCUCUGCUUCUUUAAAGUAACUCAUGCUUCUGUAGUUUUCACUUAUGGCAUCAGCCAAACUUCCGCCUUACAAAGACAGAAAAGGUUAGCCUUUUCUUCUUUUUGAAAUAUUCUUAUUUUUCUUCCUUCCACCUUUAGCGAAUAACCAUAGAUUCAGCUAAGAAAGUCACAUUUUAUAGGACCUUCCCCCUUCAACCUACUUGUGAAAUCAAAAUUUUAUUUCUUCUUUCACUGGAUUAAUAAACUCAGAUGGUACAAGAUACAAUUUAAAGUCUCUUUCAUUUGUGUAAAAAAGGAGGUGAAAAGAUCUAAGACCACUGACAACACAGGCUUACUCUGGGAAAGAGAACCACAGUAAACCUAUGUUGUCUAUGUCUUAGAUAUUCUUUUCAACUCCGUUUUACACAAAUGAUAGUAUAUUUUCAUUACCUUGUAGAUAAUUCUGUACCAAUAUAUAAAAACUACCCUUCUUUCUUGUGUCUCCAUAGAACUCCACUAUAUAAUUGGAUGAUAACACACAUUAAUCAAUCCCCUAAAGAUGGACAUUUUAAAAUUAUUUUCAAUCGUUUGCUUAGUAUAUAUUAUGGUCUAAUGAAUAACCUUAUACAUUGGUCAUUUCAGACAUUUAGUAUCCGCUAGACAUGGAAGUGCCGGACAAAGGGGCAGGAGUACUUGUAAUAUCUGCAUACGUAUGUGUGUGUACACAUACGCACUGUCUCCCAGAGAAAGCUAUACCAAUUUAUACUUGUACCAUCAGUGUAUGAGAAUACCUGCUUCCCCACCCCCUUGACAACAACCUACAAAUUUUAGAGCUAAAAACUAGUAUCGUAGUAGUUGUAAUUUAUACUACUCUUUUUUUUUU
Molecule: long non-coding RNA, 3169 nt
Organism: Loxodonta africana (African savanna elephant)
Lineage: Eukaryota; Metazoa; Chordata; Mammalia; Proboscidea; Elephantidae
Exons: 4
Source: RefSeq, a predicted model, not a curated record